GUCCGUGAUUCGUCCAGAAGAGGACUCCAUCCAGAACGUGGCAGAAGCGAAGGGUAGCUGGUGCCUGGGCUCGGAGCCUGCAGUCUGGGAGAGUGGGGAGCCCUCCUGCACGCGCUUGCUGCCUCGUCAGUGUCCCUGUGAGACAUGGGGAGCUGAGGAUCGCAGUGGCACAUCUUAAAUUAAAGGCCGGGCCAUCAAUCCCCUGGAGCAGACCGACAUAACAAGGCCUCAAUGCUCACUCUCCUUCAGGAAGCCCUCCCGGACUGACCCUCUGAGACUCCAUCUGACUGACUUCCAUCCUCUGACAGACAAGGCUACGAUUUGUAUUUGAUCAUAUUUGCAGCAACUGUUCUCUGCUGCUUCAUUUUGUGGGAUCCAAACCCCCCAGGCGCAAGGCCGGUGCUUCUCUUUUCUCCCCUCUCU
Tupaia belangeri chinensis (Chinese tree shrew) is the source of this 423-nucleotide long non-coding RNA. RefSeq lists it as uncharacterized. Lineage: Eukaryota; Metazoa; Chordata; Mammalia; Scandentia; Tupaiidae. The record is from RefSeq and is a predicted model, not a curated record. The transcript has 3 exons.